Molecule: unclassified non-coding RNA, 8423 nt
Filed under: Venturia canescens
Lineage: Eukaryota; Metazoa; Arthropoda; Insecta; Hymenoptera; Ichneumonidae
Description: nuclear factor of activated T-cells 5-like, transcript variant X1
Source: RNAcentral
CUAUAACUGUCAAAAAGAGGACCAGCUGAGACGACGGUUUUUGCAAUAAUACUCAACAAUUUGUAGUUAUUAAAACGUUCUUUUAUUGAACAAAUAAAUAUAUAAGUAGUUGAAUCUUCGUGAACAAAUGAAGUGACAUUAAUGCGAGAACGUUAAUAAUAAGUGAAUCGAGUGGAAAUAAUUUACGAAUAGUAGAUUUUGCGAUAACGCGAGUUUGCAAAAUGUCAAAUAAAAUUAAUAACUGUUUGUUCGAAAGUAUAAUAAUAAAAACGUCUUUAACUGACAAAUUGACGAAAUGAUUUCGACGAUACUAGAUCACUCGGAUGUCUCAUGGUUCGUUAGUGAUUCGAUAAAUAAUGUCGAAGGAUUAAAUAAUGCCCCGUAAAGAAAAGACAAAUGCCAAAACAUGGGAACGAGACAGACGAAAUCGUAUGAACACAUACUUCAAAACCCUGUCAGAUCUUUUACCGCCUCAACAGGAAGGACGCAAAAGAAACAAAGUCGACAUACUUAUCCAUGCUUCCAAGUAUAUAAAAGAAUUAAACAAUCGAACCGACGAAUUGUUCGGCGCUCAUGCCGGAGAAGCUCACAAGGAAGAACUGACCCGUUUGAAAAAAUUGGUCACUCAAUUAUUCUCACGAACUCAACUCCUUUCUGCUCUGCUACGAGAUGCUGGUAUAACGGUUCCUGCUGAACCGGCAUUGGAAAAAAUCUCUCCUCUCAAAUGGUCAAACAAAAUAAAUGUCGAAGAGAGCGAGAAAUAUGUUGACAGAUUGCCGGAGCGUAAAAAACCUGACAAACGAAAGAGCAAACAGACAGGAUACAAAGUGCCUUCGAAGCAAAAAAUCGUUGCUCUUGUCAACGAUGCGCCCAAAAAAGUUUCUGAUAUCAAGGAAACCCUUGAACUCGGUCUCAUAGAAGAUCGAGAGAAUCAUGUAAAUAGUAGUAUUAAUGAAAACUGUGAGACUCACGAUGCUGGUGCUGGUGCAUCAAACGAAACUCCCAAUUCUAGCGCAGGUCGAAAUAUUACAGCACCCUCCCAGAACUAUGUGUGCCCUCAACUGGAAGGGACAGUACCGAAACCUGGAAAGAGAAUCCGAAAGAUGGAGUCGCGAAAAAAGGUCAAAAGAAAAGGAAAAAUGAUCGAUCCGAAGUUGAAGAAGAAAAAAAUCCACGCAACAUCGUCGCAGAGCCAGUCGAUUGCGAAUUUGUUGCCAGGCACGCUGAUCUGGUCCGCGGGCAAAAUAGUUCCUCUGGUAACCCCCAUAACAUCUUUAACGCCAAAUAUACUCGUGAGUGCCCAAGCUCAAUCGUCAAACCCAAUAAUUUUGGGUAACGCACAGCAGAAUCAAAUGAUCGUAAUGCAAUCGCUCACUAAUCGCGUACAAAAUUCAGUUUUGCCAGUACGCAAUGAAACAUUGAUGAAGGCGGUCCAAAAAGUCACUCUGAACGGCGUAUCUGGUGUUCAAACAAGUUUAGGAGUAAAUUCGCGGGACUGGAGCAUGAAAAACAUAGUUGAAGCUUCGAAAGUUGCUGGCCGAAAGGUUAUUUUACCGAAGGGCAAAGAAAUCACAACGACAACGAUGACGUACAAAGUUCCCAUUCCAGCUAUUCAUCGAGAACCGGCGUUGACUAAAUUAAUCGAAAAUUCCGAUAAUCCGGGUUCGAGAAAAACUAAAAAAACAGUCAAAGGCAAAAAAGUACAGAAAGUGCGGGAAAAUCUCGAUCCGGAAAUCAAAGAAGUUCACAACCAAAAUACAAGUCUGAAUGAGGCAGGAAGCAGUCAAGAGGACAUUGCCAAACUUCCGGAAGCGUCGAGCCCCGCUACGACGGGGAAUUCGGUGAUUAACGAAAAUAAGAGAAAGACUACGGAAGAAGCAUCCUCGUUGGAAAGUCCACAAUUAAAAAUACCAAAAAUUACUAAUUCCCCGGAGAAUUCUAAAUCGACAGAGGGCGUAACAAUAGUUUGUGAGAAAGUGUGCAAGAACGCUGACGAAUUUAGUGAAAAGACGAAGAAAAAUGUCGAAGAUCGUAUUUCCGAAGACUUGAAAAAGCCUCAAAGUUCUCUGAACAAAUCACUUGAGAAUCAGGAAAAUCCGGAGCUUCCAGAAACCGAAAUCCAAAAUAUUUCACAGCCUGAAACAUCUGACACGAGUAAUAAAAAUUCCGCGGAAACGGAAAGUGUUUCAAAGAUUUCUGAAGAUCCAACGCUCGGCUGCGGGCCUUACGACCCGAAAGUUUCGAACGGAUGGUCGACAAAGUCUGAUGAAAAAAUACCUAAAGAAACGGAGACUGCGAAGCCAGCUGCGGAAAUUGGAAGAGCUUCGAAAAGAUGCGCCGACAUGGAAGCCCCUGAAACGACGGAACUUCCGGAAGUGAAUAAGACUGCGAUCGUCGAAAUUGCUGUCGUGCCUGAGAAGGAGAAAGAAGAGUGCGAUCUUGGAACUCGUUUUGACAAUCUUCUGCGAGCAACGGCGGACGCAGAACCGAAAGUGGACGAGAACAGUAUCGUUGAGAGUACAAAGAUCAUUUUAAAUCUCGAUACGAACACGACAACGACGAUGAAACCGGAAGUUUGUGGAGCUUCUAUCGAAGCUCUGAGCACAAGCGUUUCAACGUCGGUAUUGACGAACGCGGAGGAAGAAGGAAUCGUCGAGGAGGCGAGAAUGAACGACAAUCGGGGGAAGGAAGAUGCGUUGAAGUCGUUGAGUUACAAUUCGGUGAAUUCGUUCGUCCCAAUUGGAAACAAUCGCGCGGACGGUUUGCACUCCGAUUUGUCCAACGAUUUGUUCGCCUCCCUUCAGGUCCCCUCGAGUUCUCACAAUCCCGAGUCAAUAUCGCCAACGGCAGCAUUCUUAAUGGCGUUCCCAUUGGUCUCUUCGUUAAACGGUAAAACAGAAGUGCUCGAGGAAGAGAUGAAAGAAGAUUUGAAGUACCACAGCCAAACGCCGCCGAUGCUUUUGCAGAUCGGUGCCAUAGAACCGAACAGUUUUAAAGUGAAGAACGAUUCUCCUCCAACGUCGACGAUUCCUGUCGACAAAAGCAUCCAAGAACCGAUCAAAACUAACAACAGAUCUAACGAAGUACCAAAAACCUUGCCGAAAAUAGUGACGAACGAGACGCUCAAGGAGCCGUUGUACAAGGUCGUACAAUAUCCCGAGCCGACUCUGGUCGCAAGUGAAAAUUUCGUAACGCUGCCGAGCGUCGUUAGACCGAGCGAGAGCGUCAGUACGACGAACGCUGAAAUUCAGUCGACAACGAUCGGCGAGAAUUCUCGCGCAGUCACGAACCCCAUGGCCCCGGAUUCGACGCUGGCGAGUCAGCCUUCAGGGAAAUGUGGGAAUUCCGUUCGGAAAUGUGACAACGAAACGGAUAACGUUCCUCUCGUAUCGAAGUACGAAGAGACGAAUCCCAAUCGAACAAUCGUUUCUUCGAACUGCACGAGCGAUUCGUCAAAGUACGAGUCGAACGCUCGUUAUCCGACGAUUCCAGACUACGUACCGAUUUAUACAAAUUUCACAAGCUCGUCGCAGCAGCAAUCACGUCCGAAUUAUGGAACGUUGAAAACCGCGACGAUGAACACCGCAGAGAUAGCGACGACGAUUUCAGGCCUCGAUACAGCGAUGUCUUAUCCGUCGAUAAUGCGAUCGCAGGCCGUUCAAAGCGCCUACGUAGCUCACACGACUGGGAAAGAGGUCGUGCAAUCGAUGUACGCGAACCGGCGAAAGGAGCCGGUCGUAAACCCAACGGAACCGAUCACUUCUUACGUCGCAUUUCCAUCGGUAUCGCAGAGUUUGCAGCACGAUUAUUUGCCGAGAAGCAAAGAGACUUAUCAGAGUUACGACAUUCACGGGAAAGAUAAUCGAGGAUUCCAGGGCUAUCCGGAGGGGACGACGAAGAGUUCAACGAUCCAGGAGACCGGCGGGAGCCAACAGGACCGAACUUACGUCACCUCGCGGGCCAACGAAAACGUUAAAGUCAAGGAAACUUUGAACGUUUUCCAAAGCUAUCCGAGCGCCGUAUCGCAAAGCACGAAGGAAACGACGAGCCACCGCGGAAACGCGGAAAAUUCGAGCAGACUGACUUCCCGAGAUGUUGCUCAACGCGAGGAAACCUUGACGCGCUUGAACAAUGGGAAAAUCGAUAAUUUCUUACAAACCAGUAGCUAUUUGACUUUUCCGAAAGAUCCCAAAAGCAAUUCUGUCAUCGGGGACGCGAUGUUUCAGCAAGCGAAGCGACACGAAUCUCAGAAUUACGUUCCUUACAGCAAAGAGACGAAGAAAGCGAUUUACGAUAAUUCCUCCAACUCUGCGUUGCCGCAGACCACCAAAUCGCAGUUGCUUGCGAAUUCGACGAUUCCGCGUUAUGGCUCGAACCAACUGAACUCGGAGCAGCAACAGACUUGCGUCGCUACUUCUAAUUACGUCCAGAGCACGAGCGUUUCCGAUAAUGCGAUGAAAUCAACGACAACCGUUGCUCACAAUUCUUCGAACUUCAGUAUUCUCUCGUGGACCACAUUUUCGCCACUCGGGGGCGCUAGCGUCAACAACGCAAACGGAAAUAACAGCAGCAACCCGAGUCACGUGCAUUACGAAACUGGCAGCGACCACGUGGAGCAGGCUGAAGCAAAAACUUCUUGUGAAAACUACUCUUACGCUUCAGUCCACAAAGAAUCUUACGGAAACAUGCUGCCGAGCGAAGGAUUCAGCGGGGAAUCAUCGCUCAUUGAUAAAUCCCGAGAAAAAUUGAUGAGCGAGAGUCUGAAGCCUCAAAUAUUCGAAGAUUCCUCCAAAGCUAAAGUGUCUCAGGCCAUCGUGACCGAGCACAAAAUCGUUCGUUCUCACAAUCAGAACGGAAACACCACGACGGAUUAUAAAUACGUUGGAGAGACAAAAAACAAGCAGAACAAAUAUCCGAUGGGUUCCGCUUACACGCAAACGGAAUUUCCGAGCUUGGAACAGCAGCCAAGUGCCAAGGGGGCUCAGCCUGUUGUCGGUGGAAAGCUAGAAAAGUCGAAUUAUCCGAUGCCCACGUACGACUCGCAGACUAAUUUCGAUAUUUCCGAAACGAACGUGGCGAUAAAGUGCAACAGCGAGAUUUAUAACUCGAGCAAUUACAAGUACAUGGAUGAGAAGGAUACGAAUUUGCAAUUGAAAUAUCAGCCUCAUGCGCAGAGCCAGGCAACGAUUUUGCACCACGACGCUGCCACUUACAACGGUGUCAAACACCUCAGUCAACAACAGCAACACUCUCAACAGCAACAGCAGCAGCAGCAGCAACAGCAACAGCAGCAACAACAGCCGAUAUCAAAACAGAGCAAAACUAUCGAACAGCAACUGCAACAGCAACAGCAGCAACAACAACAACAACAACAACAACAUCAACAACAACAGCAGCAACCCGCAAGACCACCGGUUAACUGGAUGAUGACCCCGGAAAUAAAGCACAGCACGAACAUAGCCGAUUUGAUAUUACCACCGAUCGGCAAAGAGCUUGAAUUCUGUCAGAACAACAUUUUUACUCAAGCAACCUCUUACAAUCAGACCCCCCCUAAUCACCAAUUCUACAAUAAUUAUGAGGCAACUGUGACCGCCCCUCACGGCUUCCCAAAUAUAUCAACGCUGCAAACGGAUCCACGGAGAAUUCCCGAUGGUGGCUUUUAUCCCGAGGAACAAGCCUUUUCUUGGUCUCCAACAAAAAAUACUCAAAUCGAACACAACGCGAUGCAAAAGUCGAUCGAUCAACACGUCGUCGUUCCCUCGACUCUUCCGACUCUCGUUGGUGAUCUGGCCCUCGGUACAAACAUUUCGGAAAAGCAGAGUUUCCUCUUCGGCCAAAUGGCCCCUCGUAACAAGGACAUUGCGCAAGCCCCUCCGGUGAGCAAGGACAAAGAUCACGUCGUCAGGGACUAUCAGACGAUGAUAAAUACUCAAAAUCCUCAGCAAAGCGUUCAGGGCACAUCGUUUUUGUCAGUGAGCCAACUGGUCGAACACGAAAAGGCCGAAAAAUCGAAUCAACAGCACAACCAUCAUUCCCACAACCACAAUCAUCACCAGCACCAUCAUCAGCACCAACAGCACCAACACAAUCAACAACAACCUUCUGUUCCAACGAAUCAUCAGCCGCAUACCCGAAAGCAACGCAAGAACACCAACGGCAGCCCUCGUACGACGGGCAAACGUCAAAUCGACGCGAGAAAAACAACAGCGAGCGCGAACGUCGUCGAUCAACUGCACCCACAGACUACCGCGGAGGAACAAAAAUUAUCAACUUCCCAUACGUUCCCCGAGCAAACUUAUCACCAGCAUCAUCAACAACAGCAACAGCACCAAAACAACAGCCAACAAAAUCAAAAGUUUCAGCAAAACGAUGUACACUGGCGAAACAGACAGUGCAAAAGCAACUACACCGCGGAGGCUCUCAUUGGUGGAAACACGAGUGUUCAGGACAACAAUAAUCCUGAGAAGCAAAUGCAAGCCUCGACCAUAAAAUCUUUCGCAUCGGAAUAUCCUCAAAAUAAAUAUCCAGCGGGUAUCGGCACGACGGAAAUGAUAAUGCCAACGAUCAAUUAUCUCCCGAAUCCGAGCGACGAUCCAAACGCCUACGGCCAGAGCGUCAAUCAAAAUUUCAAUCCAUCUUCCUACGCGUAUUCACCAAAUACCAAUAUUUAUCCGACAACUAAUUUCAUAACGAGCAUAUCCAAUACGCCGACCAGUUACAUGAUGCCGUUGCACGACAAUCCGAGUGACUUCAUCGAAGCCAACUCGUUUUUGUUGCCAAACGUAACCUCGACGACGAAAACAACGUUGAAUCUCUCGUCCACGACUGUUUCCACCGUCACGAGUUCGAGGCUCGCCACUUCCUCGAGUUUGAGCGCUCCAACGAACUCGAAAAGUCAACAGCAGCAUUACAGCACUACCAGCAGCCUCGUGAAGAAUCAGAAUUGCGAAAAACGCAAUUCUUAUACGACCACCGCAACGAAAAAAAGCAAACGGAAAACUGACAACGCGAGCAUGCACAAUUUGGAAUUUCCAAUCUCGUCGGUCGCUUCCCAAAUCGAUGACUACCAUUCUCAUCCUCAUCAUCAUCAUCACCACCAUCAUCAUUCACAUCCGUCGAGUUUCCUCACACCUCCUCAUGCUAAUUCCCUCUAUCAAAAUCAUUCCCACCCCAGUUCCGUUGGAUUAAUGACCAAUUCUAAUCGCAUACCGAGAGCUACUACUUUGAGCAAUAAUCCUCCUCUUGGACACCAUCAUCCGUCGGGAACUAGUCUCACUAAUUUUAAUCUCAGCACCAUCUUUCCUGAAAUCAACGACAAGGUAUCCGGAUACAAGCCUCCGAACGUAAUUCCCUCUGGAUUGUCCCAAGCAUCGAAUCAUCCUACUGUGACGUAUCCUCAGCGUGGAAACUACGCAGUAAAUAACACGCUUGGCCACAUACCUCAGGAAACGACUCAAUUUACUAGUGACUUGCCAACUGCUCCACCACCAGGUGUACUCCAUUACAAAAAUACCUGACGAAACGGAGAAGGUCGAUAAAUUGUGCACGAAAAGAUAAAAACAAUGAAACUGAAAGAAGAAAGUUUGGAACUUUCGUUUUAUCGACUGGAUUUGUGGUUCAAAAUCUAAAAACUCAACCUCCACAAUUACCGACAUCGCCUUUAAGGUUUUUUUUCCUGAAAAGAACAUUCGAAGAAGACGUAGUUAAUGGAUCAAAAUUGUUCUGGCAAAAAAGGUUGAGACGAAAAGUGAAAAAAUGUUUCAAAACACCGUCACGAUCGAAAGUUUGCGCAUAUCAGGCGACCCCGUAUUUGGAAGCGUGACGAAAGUUUGGAUGUCUGCGGCCCUCUUGACGAGCCGAGGGUCACGAUGGAUAGAUCACGUCAUAAAAUUCAAUCAAUCUACUCGUUGCUUCUAAUCUGUUAGAACGCUCGUCGCUAGUGUUCGUCGAGCCAGAGAGAUGGAAAGUGCUAGAGCAACUCGUUCGAACGUUGUGUCGCAUUUUGAUAGUGAAUGAGGAAAUUUCAGCAUCGAUAGACAAGCGAUAAUGCGUAAUCUGUUGAAUAAGUGCGCACGCACUCGGAACAGAACAAGUGUACUAUGAUCGUGUAAAAAUGUCUACACAUGGAUAUUCAUAUGCGUAGUGUGUACACAUAAAUCUAUAGGUUUACACGAGAUAUAGAGACGUGCGUCUGAAAGAGAUUAUUAAGCCCGAUUGAUGAAAGAGCUGUACGUUCCUCUCGUUCGUAUUAUAUCCAGUUAUUCGUGUCAGACCGCGAGGGAAUCAAGUACGAGUGUAUCCAGGCACGGGUACACAAACAAAUAUUUGAACGCAGAUCGCUACGGAAAGUUCGAAUGUACUCGGACAAACAUAACGUAUAGUUUAAGAAAUAAAUUCGAUGUGGAAAGGGAAUUUAAGCCGAA